CUUCACGAUACAAGCUGCACUGACAGUGAAUUAUGGAAAAUAUGGCCUUAUUCUCUGUUUUAAUUAUUUUAGCUUGUAUGCAUGUCGGCAGUGUAAGGAGUGCUAUUGGUUCUACAGAGGUAAACUGUGUAAGUGGAAGUAGUAUCACUCUAGGGAAUAUCGAGGAGGGAUAUGAAGGAGAUAUAGAGAUUAUCACUAAUAUCAGACCGGAUGUUCGUCUGGUUCUGGAGCCACAUCUCGGUACCGUUGCUAUGAAAUAUGUGGAGCUGGUUUACUCUGAUGGAGACUCAACCGCUACUGUACGGACCAUCAAACCACUGGAUGCUGAGGAAAUAAAGAUGGUUUGUUCCACCC
This 354-nucleotide long non-coding RNA is filed under the name Sinocyclocheilus anshuiensis. RNAcentral describes it as "lncRNA (ENSSANG00000023270.1)". Lineage: Eukaryota; Metazoa; Chordata; Actinopteri; Cypriniformes; Cyprinidae. The record is from RNAcentral.